Molecule: non-coding RNA, 74 nt
Organism: Cucurbita maxima (winter squash)
Lineage: Eukaryota; Viridiplantae; Streptophyta; Magnoliopsida; Cucurbitales; Cucurbitaceae
Source: the annotation of a RefSeq genome assembly
GGCCUAUUAGCUUAGUUGGUUAGAGCAUCGUGCUAAUAACUCGAAGGUUGCAUGUUCGACACCUGCAUGUGCCA